This 1271-nucleotide ribosomal RNA is filed under the name Salmonella enterica subsp. enterica serovar Typhimurium. Its description in RNAcentral is "partial 23S ribosomal RNA". It matches the Rfam family "Bacterial large subunit ribosomal RNA", at positions 1660 to 2908 of the family's 2925-position model. Lineage: Bacteria; Pseudomonadati; Pseudomonadota; Gammaproteobacteria; Enterobacterales; Enterobacteriaceae. The record is from RNAcentral.
CAGGUGGUCAGGUAGAGAAUACCAAGGCGCUUGAGAGAACUCGGGUGAAGGAACUAGGCAAAAUGGUGCCGUAACUUCGGGAGAAGGCACGCUGACACGUAGGUGAAGUGAUUUACUCAUGGAGCUGAAGUCAGUCGAAGAUACCAGCUGGCUGCAACUGUUUAUUAAAAACACAGCACUGUGCAAACACGAAAGUGGACGUAUACGGUGUGACGCCUGCCCGGUGCCGGAAGGUUAAUUGAUGGGGUCAGCGCAAGCGAAGCUCCUGAUCGAAGCCCCGGUAAACGGCGGCCGUAACUAUAACGGUCCUAAGGUAGCGAAAUUCCUUGUCGGGUAAGUUCCGACCUGCACGAAUGGCGUAAUGAUGGCCAGGCUGUCUCCACCCGAGACUCAGUGAAAUUGAACUCGCUGUGAAGAUGCAGUGUACCCGCGGCAAGACGGAAAGACCCCGUGAACCUUUACUAUAGCUUGACACUGAACAUUGAGCCUUGAUGUGUAGGAUAGGUGGGAGGCUUUGAAGCGUGGACGCCAGUCUGCGUGGAGCCGACCUUGAAAUACCACCCUUUAAUGUUUGAUGUUCUAACGUGGACCCGUAAUCCGGGUUGCGGACAGUGUCUGGUGGGUAGUUUGACUGGGGCGGUCUCCUCCUAAAGAGUAACGGAGGAGCACGAAGGUUGGCUAAUCCUGGUCGGACAUCAGGAGGUUAGUGCAAUGGCAUAAGCCAGCUUGACUGCGAGCGUGACGGCGCGAGCAGGUGCGAAAGCAGGUCAUAGUGAUCCGGUGGUUCUGAAUGGAAGGGCCAUCGCUCAACGGAUAAAAGGUACUCCGGGGAUAACAGGCUGAUACCGCCCAAGAGUUCAUAUCGACGGCGGUGUUUGGCACCUCGAUGUCGGCUCAUCACAUCCUGGGGCUGAAGUAGGUCCCAAGGGUAUGGCUGUUCGCCAUUUAAAGUGGUACGCGAGCUGGGUUUAGAACGUCGUGAGACAGUUCGGUCCCUAUCUGCCGUGGGCGCUGGAGAACUGAGGGGGGCUGCUCCUAGUACGAGAGGACCGGAGUGGACGCAUCACUGGUGUUCGGGUUGUCAUGCCAAUGGCACUGCCCGGUAGCUAAAUGCGGAAGAGAUAAGUGCUGAAAGCAUCUAAGCACGAAACUUGCCCCGAGAUGAGUUCUCCCUGAGACUUAAAGUCUCCUGAAGGAACGUUGAAGACGACGACGUUGAUAGGCCGGGUGUGUAAGCGCAGCGAUGCGUUGAGCUAACCGGUACUAAUGAA